CUUCUACCUAUUAUUUAAGAAGAACAACCUAAUGCGUAUGAUGAACUGAAUGAGAGAGUUGUCAUUUAACUGGUUACUAGUUUACAAUUUCUACUGCAUUUCUUUAAUCAGUUUAUUGAAAAGUUAUCUCUACCAUUGAAGUUGUCAUCUUGCUGAAUCGAUGCCUUAAGGGAAUGAUCCCCCUCCUAAUGCAUAACACUUGGACUACAUUUUGCGAUUACAAACUACAAUUUCUAGCCCUUCCGUAAAAACACUCAUGUGCAUAGGAAAACUAAUAGUGCACACGUCAUUUUUGAACUGAGCCAGAUAUUGCUGUUCCAAAUUGCAAAAUGCAGUCCACUUCACUUUGCAUGGCUUGAAACAACAUGCCAUUUUAUUCUCAGUUCGAAAAGAUUGUCUGAUUUUCAAGUGACUUGUUUAUUUUUCACCAGUAUUUGAUUUUUAAACAUCUACCUUGCUUUUUCGGUUCCCUCCUUUAAAGUAAAUCCUCGAGGUAAAGCAACGGUUUUAUUCACUUGAAGGACAAGUUUUCAGCCUCAAUCUCUAUUGGUUUUCUUCAUAAAUAAUUGUUCUCCAUAAUACUUAAUGGGUAAUUCUACGUUUAGUUAAAACAUUUGAAUUUUUCUCUUUUUUUUCUGUGCAGAACCUAGAUAAUUGGAAGUCCAGCAGAAGAAAACGACAGGAGCAUAUUAUUGAAAGAGUAGUUGAGGUGAAGAAAUUUGAAUUAGAGGAUCAUGAUCGCAAUCGGAGACGCAGCAAAACAUUCAAUGAAAUGAUGGAAGAAAGGAGCUCCCGAGGAAGGAAGUUGAGUCUACCUAUUUAUCAAGAAGACAACUCGGAUGAUUUAAGCGACCUUGGUUUAAGUACUGUCUCAAGUCCAAAGGAAAAAAAUGGAAAAGAUGAAGAGGAAAGGAAACUGAGCCCAUUGCGUGAGUCUAUCGAUAGUCUCUCGAGCAAAGAUGUAGAUAAAAAAGACAAACCAAUUGCAGGGGUGAUUCAAAUGCAUAUGAAAAAGCUGUUCAAAAUUGCAUUAGCUACGCUGAGAACAUUGUAAAGUCGAGAUCAAGCCAGUGCUCGGGCAAAUCAGAAUCGAAACCUGAAUACCAAAAAUUAAAGUCUGAGUUUGACAGUGUUCUCCGAGGCUCGACUCCCAAAAUAGAAGGGAAAAUAUCAGAAUUACGUCAUCGUAGAUUCAGUCAGUCCGAUUCAAUGCUGAUGACGACAAAAAGCCACUCAACCUUCCCAAAGUUGACAUCUCCAAGCGACGAGAAUUGUUUGAGAAAAUAUCCAAUGACACCA
This 1299-nucleotide long non-coding RNA is filed under the name Bemisia tabaci. RNAcentral describes it as "lncRNA ENSSSA3NGG002341". The record is from RNAcentral. Lineage: Eukaryota; Metazoa; Arthropoda; Insecta; Hemiptera; Aleyrodidae.